AUAUAAAAAACAAUUUCUUUUCUUUUUUUCCCUUUCUUUCUCUUUCUUCUCCCCAUCUCUUUCGCGACAAACACCGUUCUUUCACUUCCCCAAUUUCUCAUAUUUGCGAAGCCACCAAUCUCCGUUCUUUGCUCUUGUUGAUUAAACAAUCUUCAGCCGGAGGUGAUGAUUGAGCAAUCAGAAUAACACAUCAGAGGUUCUGAUCUAUCGACGAGUUUGGAUAUUGACUCAUUGAGAGUUUUUUCCACCAAAUCAAAGCGUUUCCUUCACUGCUUUUCGAGAAUUUGAUGAACCAAUCUCCAUCUGAUGAAAUGAGAUGUUGCCAAGAACUGAUCCAAGGAAAUUCACCUGGUGUUGAUUCCCGGUGUUAUGACAAGAGUCCGUUUGACACAUUUCUGGUGGGUGGGGGGAUACAGCUGAGGCUAACGAUAUAAAGAAAGAAGAAGAUGAUUCAGAAUCGGACUUGGGACUUGGGAUGACGAUGACCCAAACAACAACAACAACAAUGUUCAGUUUGAAUAACGACGAAGACGACGACUCAGACUACUUAAGGGUUUGUUUCUAUCAUCAACACCACAAUGAAUCCGUAACAAGAUGGUUUGAAGAAUGAUGAAGAAGACGACUCAGACUGCUUAAGGAAUUUCAUCAUCUUUAAACUAUGGCAAGGGAGGGCUAAGUAACCAGCCUGCAUAACAGAGAGACAUCUUCUAUUGCUUUAACUAAUGAAGUGUCUAACUAAGCAGAUUAGAAAGAUAUGGUUUAAAGAAUGAACGCAGUUUCAUAAUAAACUUGGCCGAGGUUCGUGCUCACGGUAACAUCAAACUGAUUCUAGUGACUGAUGGUCUUUGACUCAAUUGUCAAUACAAUACGUUUUCCUUGUCCACUUCGAAUUCCCCAUCCAUAACUUCUCUAGAUGGAGAUAUUAUGUGGAUCCCUUUCUUCCGGUGGAAAAUUCUCUUCUUGCUCUCCAACAUAUUGGAAGCUGUCCCAAAAUUGUGAACACCACUAUCAUCAACAGACUUAAAGGCGUUAAGGAUCUGGAGCGGAGAGAGGAUGCUGCUGCACAAGGAUCUGAAGCGGAAAGAGGAGGAUGCUGCACAAGCCGGAAUUGUUAUUGAGGCGAAAGAAAAACUGGCCUCCUCCCUUCCUCCCAAGUCCCACCUAUCCAUGAAGACAUUGCUAAUGAAAUUUUGGUUUGUCUCCAAAGGCUACAGUAUAUUGCAUUUCCAACAUAAUUGGGCUUGGUUCUUGCACUUUAUUGGAAUAUCAUUGCCGUUACUAGAACUUGGAUCAAAGGAGAAGAUCAGUUUGAAUAACGAUGAAGAAGAAGACUCCGACUGCUUAGGUUUUGUUUCUAUCAUCAACACCACAAUCCAUAAGUGUAGACUGUGAUAUUUCUAUCAUUAACACCACAAUCCAUAAGUGUAGACUGUGAUAUUUCUAUCAUCAACACCACAAUUGUUUGCUGUUGUUUCUCUAUAUGGAUUAGAUGGAAGAUGAUAUAUGCAAGGCUCUCUUUCUUCCCAUUAUUACCGACGAUGAUGAUGCCUUUUUCUAGUCUUCAUCACUUUAGAACAGACUGAUCAUAGCUUAAUGAAUCUGCUUUGUUAAUCUACCUGGAACUUAUUAUCUUUUCUUUCUCUUGCAGGACUUUCAUCUUUAAACAUUGGCAAGGGAGGGCUUAGUAACCAGCCAGCAUACAGAGAGACAUCUGCAAUUGCUUUAACAGUCUGACUAAGCAGUUCAAAGAGAUAUGGUUUGAACUUUAAAGUAUGAAUGCAGUUUCAUAAUAAAAACUUGGCCGAUGAGAAUGCUCACGGUAACAACAUCAGACUGAUUCUAGUGAUUGAUGGUCUUUGACUCAAUACAAUACGUCUUCCUUGUCCACUUCGAAUUCCCCAUCCAUAAGUCUUCGCUAGAUGGAGAUAUUAUAUGGUUCCCUUUCCUCCGAUGGAAAAUUCUCUCUUCUUGCUCCCCAGCCAACCUAUUUGGAAGCUGUUCAAAAUUGUGGACACCACUAUCAUCAACAGACUUAAAAGGCGUUAAGAUCAGAGAUGGUUUGAAGAAUGAUGAAGACAACUCAGACGCUUAAGGAAAUUCAAUUUUAAACAAUCGCAAGUGCUAACCAGCCAGUUCAUAGAGAGAUAUCUUCAAUUGCUUUAACGAAAGAAGGUUUAAUAAAGAUGAAGAAGAGUCAGACUGCUGAAGGUUUCUACAUUCUUUUGGAUUCAAGGGAGUGUUCAUGCUGCUUCGAGUUCCAUACUAUCACCUUUGCCUCCGGAACCUGCUGAUUUUGGAUAUGGUCGUACUGUUGACAUUCCUCUUGAGUCUUGACAGACCGGGCUCUGGUACACGAGGUAUACAGGAUUUGAAGAAGAAAGAGAAGGAGCCUCAAGCCAAAGAAGCUGAGCUGAGACGACAAAAGCAGAAAAGCCAGUUUAACGAUGUCAUGUGCAUAUUUUGUUUUCAGUUGAUGAUGAGGAUGCUGCUGCACAAGGAUCUGAAGCGGAAAGAGGAGGAUGAUGCACAAGAUCGGUGAUGGUUUGAAGAAUGAUGAAGAUUCAGAUUGUUCAAGAUGGAGGGAUAUAUAUAUGGUUCUCAUUAUUAUCCAACGAUGGUCAAAUCCUAUUCUGCUGUAAUAUGUGGCAACUGAAACUCCCUGAUUCCUUUUAAGAGUUAGCAGCAGUGAAUAACUUGAGGAACAGAUAUUGGCAAAGAUUCCCUAGUUCAAAGCUUGAACCUUUGUGAACAAGAAGAUUUGGGCAGCUCUAGUUUUGCCUGCAUCACAAACAAGUAUUCCACAUCUACUAGAAUUCAGAAAUUUCAUCUAAAAACAAUGGUAAAAGCUAACCAGCAUACAGAGACAUCUCCAGUGGCUAAGCAGGAAGGUUCAAGGGCUACUACUGAUGCAGCAAGACUGCGAACUGAAUACAACGGGCUGGUUGAGGGUUUGGCACUGAGAAGGGACCUAUCUGGUAAGUAUGUGUUGAGGAAGGUGAUGUGUGGUUUGGUUGAAAAAACACAAAAGUGCAUGACAUUUUGUACGUUGAUUACUUCAGCAGUACUUGGGUACAGCUGGGACACUGAGAACAUAGAGAAAAUAAAAUCCCUGUUAGCUUUUGUAUCGUCGCUGAAUUCUCAGGCUGGGAAUUGAGCAGAAAACACUGAAGUAAGGUUUUGACCAUCUCCAGACUCUCAUGCUUACUAACCCUUGAGAAAUUACA
Non-coding RNA from Camelina sativa (false flax), 3224 nucleotides. NCBI's taxonomy places the organism in Eukaryota, Viridiplantae, Streptophyta, Magnoliopsida, Brassicales, Brassicaceae. The record is from RefSeq and is a predicted model, not a curated record.